AGAGUUUGAUCCUGGCUCAGGAUGAACGCUGGCGGUGUGCCUAAUACAUGCAAGUCGGACGAGAUCUUCGGAUCUAGUGGCGGACGGGUGAGUAACACGUUGGUACCUACCCCUAAGUGGGGAAUAACUGCCCGAAAGGGUGGCUAAUACCGCAUAAUCCCGCAAGGGUAAAGCAGUAAUGCGCUUAGGGAGGGGCCUGCGUCUGAUUAGCUAGUUGGUAAGGUAAUGGCUUACCAAGGCGACGAUCAGUAGCUGGAUCGAGAGGUUGACCAGCCACACUGGGACUGAGAUACGGCCCAGACUCCUACGGGAGGCAGCAGUAAGGAAUCUUCCACAAUGGACGAAAGUCUGAUGGAGCAACACCGCGUGCAGGAUGACGGUCUUCGGAUUGUAAACUGCUUU
This 402-nucleotide ribosomal RNA is filed under the name uncultured bacterium. RNAcentral's name for it is "bacterial SSU rRNA". It matches the Rfam family "Bacterial small subunit ribosomal RNA", at positions 8 to 436 of the family's 1533-position model. The record is from RNAcentral.